Octopus bimaculoides (California two-spot octopus) is the source of this 2194-nucleotide long non-coding RNA. RefSeq lists it as uncharacterized. The record is from RefSeq and is a predicted model, not a curated record. Lineage: Eukaryota; Metazoa; Mollusca; Cephalopoda; Octopoda; Octopodidae.
GCUGCAGAUGUUGGUGAGAGGGAUAACUACCCUUGGCAAACAGGACACAGUCGUGUGUCGAUAAGCCAGCUGGAGGAGAUGUCCUCCUGGGGCUAAAAGCAACAGUAACAUCCACCCCUAGGGGUCAGCCACACUUAAGUGGCAAUAUACUACACUUUAUAUAUAUAUAUAGAGAGAGAGAGAGAGUGCUAUAAGUUGAAUUCAUAGACAUCUCAACCCGGUUUCGUUUUGGCUAUUUUAGCGGAAAAUGAAAUACAGCACACAAUCAUUAACAAUUAAGUUUUAUGAAAACAUACAUCAAAAGACACAUACAAUUUGAAAUUCAAAACAACAGUAUUUAAAAUUUUUUAAAUAUCAUUAAUUUUUCUAUUAUAUUUUUGCUAAUGUUUUUAGCGAUAUAAUAAUUUUGACUCAAUAGUUUAGUUUAGUUGAUAUUUCUUUCUCUCUGCGAACAGCAAUUGCUGCCAUGUGUUGAAGAAAUCCGUCAGCAGCAGAGGGAAAUGUAGAAGACGCAAUGACUGUACAAACAACUUUCAUCUCCUUCUGCGUAUUUGUCUUUUGUUUUUUCAUAGUAUUACUAUUUAUUUUAUUAGGCUGGUAUUUGGUUUGGCGUUUCUUCUUACAACGAUUUGGUUUCAUUCGUGAGCUUUAUGCCAGUGAGAAUUCUAAUUCACAAGAUGUCCCCAAACGAAGACGUGACAAGUCUAGAAAAGAUUAAUUUACAAUCUAAUGGAUUUAUUUCUGGUUGCAAGCUGGCUCAAAACUAUUUCGCUACUAAAACUUCCCAAUUUAUCACUGAGUCGUCAGCAAUCAGCAGGUGGACAAAUGGCUGGUACUAUCAAAAUAUGCAAUUAACGUUGUCACUAUUCAAAUUCAAAUUACCAGUAUUUUUAUGCCAUUUUUUAAUUACUACUAAUAAACCGUCCCAGAUGUUUAAACAGAACCGAAAUAUCAAAUGCUUAAACCAAUAGUUUCUGUAUGAAAGAUGUAAUGUUGAUGUGUUUGUGUAACUGUUUUAUAUAGAAAAUUAUUUAUAUUUAAAAAAGAAAUCAUGCUUUGUUUUUAAUGUCUUUUUUUCUUUUUUAUUUAUUUUUUUUUUUCCUGCAACCUAGAAAAGAAACAAAAUGAAUUAAGAACAUGAUUGGGGAAAAUGUAUUUCUUUGAUCUCCAGAAAUUCAAUCCAAGAAAACUCACUUCAAUUUUUGAAAUAUGUAUAUUUAUAUAUCUACACGUUCCUUUAAAAAAAUAUAUAUAGCAUUUUUAUUUUAUUUUUAUUAUUAUUAUUAUUUUGUUCGCAAUUACAGGACUUGUUUUUAUAACAUAACAUUAUGGAAAGAUAUGAAACUUUCAUAUCAAUUCAAACAGUUUACGUAUUAAGCAUAAAGUUUUGUAUUAGUGUGCUCAUAUGAAACUUCUUUCCGCAAAACAUUACAUGACAUAGAUAUCGAGCAAUUUUGUUCACUUCCGUUGCUUUGAGAUUGGUUAAUCAAUAUUACUGAUGGAAAUAUUUUCCAAGCAAUUUAACAGUAACAAUGUUCUGUGCAGCCAGUUUCAUUUCUCUCAGCAAGUGAACAUAUACUUCAUCUGGGAUCUAACUUACAAACCUUUAUUGCUUACUGGAGCCCAGUGUUCUUAUCCGCCACAGAGCUUAAAACAUUGGCAUUAUGGAAAAUAGUGUUAUAACUCUACCGCAUGUAAUACAGGUUUCAUAAGUUCAAAUCCUAGCUUCAGAAGGCUGCACAUAUCCUAAUGACAAAUACAAACUAAAGUGCUUCAGAAGCAUUGAUUUACUAAAAUCCAGAAGAAAACAUGAAGGUCUGAAAAAAAAAUUUCCAUCAAUAUUGAUAUAUUUUAUUGGAGUAGUCCAUACAUACAAAUUUACAAUGGUGACAUACCUAUUUGAAUAUCUCUAAAUUAUUUUUUAAGAAAUCACUCCUAUUUUUUUCCCCCCACUAAACAGCGAAUAUUUCAGAUAUGAAUUGCUUGUCACAUUUCAUGCAUUGGAAUUGGGUCUGGCUUAUUGUUUGGAGUUUUGGGUCAUUACAACAUUCUUUGAGAGCCUUUUCAUCUAAAUGUAAAUUUUGAAAUCAAGUUCUGCCUUUUAAAAUCUUAUCAAAUAAUUGGCUGCAAUUUUUUUUUUUUUUUUUUUUUUUAACUGGAAAAAUAUAAUUAUUCAAGUGAUUUUAUGUAACUA